CUUCCAUGAACAACGUACCUGGGAUAUUUCUUGCGUUGCCAACAUUUAUCAUGAAUGGGUAAUUUUUCUUUGGGUUUUGACAACUAUUUUAGUAGCUAAAGACUUUGAUAACUAGUGUCAGCAUUUUGAUUUUGAUGGGUUUUAAGUUACGAUCUUUACUCAUAAACUUCAAUUGAGAGAACCUUAAUCUUUGAUGGGAUCUUCUUACUAGACUUAAUCUUCGAU
RNAcentral lists this unclassified non-coding RNA (225 nucleotides) under Hevea brasiliensis (rubber tree). The record is from RNAcentral. Lineage: Eukaryota; Viridiplantae; Streptophyta; Magnoliopsida; Malpighiales; Euphorbiaceae.